CCGUUCUGAUAUGCCAUUAAGUUGUG
RNAcentral lists this non-coding RNA (26 nucleotides) under Bombyx mori (domestic silkworm). The record is from RNAcentral. Lineage: Eukaryota; Metazoa; Arthropoda; Insecta; Lepidoptera; Bombycidae.